This 253-nucleotide ribosomal RNA is filed under the name uncultured bacterium. Its description in RNAcentral is "partial 16S ribosomal RNA". It matches the Rfam family "Bacterial small subunit ribosomal RNA", at positions 524 to 776 of the family's 1533-position model. The record is from RNAcentral.
UACGAGGGGGGCUAGCGUUGCUCGGAAUCACUGGGCGUAAAGCGCACGUAGGCGGAUUUUUAAGUCAGGGGUGAAAUCCUGGAGCUCAACUCCAGAACUGCCUUUGAUACUGGGAAUCUCGAGUCCGGAAGAGGUGAGUGGAACUGCGAAUGUAGAGGUGAAAUUCGUAGAUAUUCGCAAGAACACCAGUGGCGAAGGCGGCUCACUGGUCCGGUACUGACGCUGAGGUGCGAAAGCGUGGGGAGCAAACAGG